UACGUAGGGGGCUAGCGUUGUCCGGAAUCAUUGGGCGUAAAGAGCGUGUAGGCGGCCCGGUAAGUCCGCUGUAAAAGUCAAAGGCUCAACCUUUGAAUGUCAGUGGAUACUGCCGGGCUAGAGUCCGGAAGAGGCGAGUGGAACUCCUGGUGUAGCGGUGGAAUGCGCAGAUAUCAGGAGGAACACCGGUGGCGAAGGCGGAUCUCUGGGCCAUUACUGACGCUGAGGAGCGAAAGCGUGGGGAGCGAACAGG
Molecule: ribosomal RNA, 253 nt
Filed under: uncultured bacterium
Lineage: Bacteria
Description: partial 16S ribosomal RNA
Rfam family: Bacterial small subunit ribosomal RNA
Source: RNAcentral